RNAcentral lists this transfer RNA (74 nucleotides) under Caudoviricetes sp. RNAcentral's name for it is "tRNA-Leu". The record is from RNAcentral. Lineage: Duplodnaviria; Heunggongvirae; Uroviricota; Caudoviricetes.
GCGUGAGUAGUCACGACUGGAAAGCGUGUAACCGUCUAAAGCGGUUCGGGGGUUCGAAUCCCCCUCUUUCCGCA